AAGUUAAGUUAUAUUUAUUUACAGUUAAUAUCAUAAUGUUUGUGAACCGACCUUUAUACUUUUAGCACUUUUUAUAUGAACCUUGACUUGACACCGUUCUGAUUCUCAAUACUAAAUCUGUUUUUCAUUGACCUUUCUAACCAACAAAAUUGAAACACAUGUCAAACAUGUGUUUCAAAAAAGUUUUAUUUUUAAUUUUAAAUUUUCCAAAAAAUUUUUUUAAUUAACAUAUAUAAAAUAAAAAAUCUUUUCAAUUCAACUUUCAAAAUUAAUUAAAGAUGAUUAAAAUUAUUAUACAUAUCUAAAUAAAAUAAACAAAAUUAAACAGACGUGACAAUGUCGAAAUGCAUCUGAUGAGGACACAGAAUUCUGUGUCGAAACGCGUCACAUUUUUAUGUCAAUUCUUCAAUAAACCAAAAGCCAUUUAGGCCAAAAUGAAAAAAACAUCUUUUAAUUAAAAAAAUUAUUCCAACAAAGGAAAGAAAAUAAAAGGAUUGGGAAAAUUAGACUUCUCAAAAACAUAUACGAUUAAUUAUAAAGUAAAAGACAUUAAAGAAAGUGAUAUAACUUCUACCAUUGGCAUUUGAUUACCACAAUCGGUGGAUAGAGAGGGAGGACGAAAAGAACGUCAAUUGAGAGAAAAGGUAUCAGAAACUGGAAAUGCAACGAAUAUUUAAUAAAAAAUGCUGUUUAUUACUAUUUUUUUUAAAAAGAAAUUUUUCAACUUUUAUUUAACAUCUCUGAAAUAAAAAAAAUUAAUGAUAAAAAUAUUACAAAUUAAUGUUCAAUAAUAUUUGUAUUAAAAAUUAUUAUAACAUGUAUAUCUUAAUUAUUUUUAUUACUAUUACUAUUUUCAUUAUAAUUGUUAUUAUUAUUAUUAUUUUGUAAUAAUUUAAUAAAUUU
Long non-coding RNA from Leptopilina boulardi, 903 nucleotides. RefSeq lists it as uncharacterized. The transcript is spliced from 4 exons. Lineage: Eukaryota; Metazoa; Arthropoda; Insecta; Hymenoptera; Figitidae. The record is from RefSeq and is a predicted model, not a curated record.